CGGCCACACUGGGCAUAUUCUGUUUAACAGUUUUUAAUUCGCACAAUUUCUUCCGAGUGUUAAGUGGGAACAGAACUUUCGAAUUUUAUUUACUAGUCGCCAUCUACGAUAUGAUAGGAUUUCAGUUUGUCAUUUUGCUGGGUCAAAGCGUUGUGAUAUCCAGUAAGAACACUUAUGAGGCUAAACGGAUGGGUGUACUGGUACAUAAAGUAAUUGCGCUGACGUACAACCGAGACUUUGUUUUGCGUCUGAAAAUUUUGUCAAUGCAAACACUUCACCGUUGUCCCAACUUUUCUUUUGGCGUUUUCGCAAUGAAUUGGCAAUUUGUUUUUUCGUUCGUGGCAUCGGUAGCUGCAUAUUUGUUUAUUUUAAUUCAGUUCCA
Bradysia coprophila is the source of this 382-nucleotide long non-coding RNA. Lineage: Eukaryota; Metazoa; Arthropoda; Insecta; Diptera; Sciaridae. The record is from RefSeq and is a predicted model, not a curated record.